CCAAUAGCGUAUAUUAAAGUUGUUGCAGUUAAAAAGCUCGUAGUUGAAUUUCGGGAUCAAGGAAUCGGUCAUGCCUCGGUAUGUACUGGUUUUAUUGGUUCUCACCUUCUAAAGAACCAUAAUGUCAUUCAUUUGAUGUUAUGGGGAAUUAGGACUGUUACCUUGAAAAAAUUAGAGUGUUUAAAGCAAGCUUACGCUUGAAUACAUUAGCAUGGAAUAAUGAAAUAGGACAUCAGAUUCUAUUUUGUUGGUUUCUAGGAUCGAUGUAAUGAUUAAUAGGGAUAGUUGGGGGCAUUAGUAUUCAAUUGUCAGAGGUGAAAUUCUUGGAUUUAUUGAAGACUAACUACUGCGAAAGCAUUUGCCAAGGAUGUUUUCAUUAAUCAAGAACGAAAGUUAGGGGAUCGAAGACGAUCAGAUACCGUCGUAGUCUUAACCAUAAACUAUGCCGACUAGGGAUCGGAUGAUGUUAAUUUUUUAAUGACUCAUUCGGCACCUUACG
RNAcentral lists this ribosomal RNA (499 nucleotides) under uncultured Glomeromycotina. RNAcentral's name for it is "partial small subunit ribosomal RNA". It matches the Rfam family "Eukaryotic small subunit ribosomal RNA", at positions 591 to 1092 of the family's 1831-position model. The record is from RNAcentral. Lineage: Eukaryota; Fungi; Glomeromycota.